Molecule: transfer RNA, 69 nt
Filed under: Ictidomys tridecemlineatus (thirteen-lined ground squirrel)
Lineage: Eukaryota; Metazoa; Chordata; Mammalia; Rodentia; Sciuridae
Description: Spermophilus tridecemlineatus (thirteen-lined ground squirrel) tRNA
Rfam family: tRNA
About the family: Transfer RNA (tRNA) molecules are approximately 80 nucleotides in length. Their secondary structure includes four short double-helical elements and three loops (D, anti-codon, and T loops).
Source: Rfam by way of RNAcentral
GGGAUUGUGGCUCAGUGGUAGAGCGCUCGCCUUGCACGUGCAAGGCCUUGAGUUCGAUCCUCAGCACCA